This 1573-nucleotide ribosomal RNA is filed under the name Escherichia coli KTE119. Its description in RNAcentral is "bacterial LSU rRNA". It matches the Rfam family "Bacterial large subunit ribosomal RNA", at positions 1372 to 2925 of the family's 2925-position model. The record is from RNAcentral. Lineage: Bacteria; Pseudomonadati; Pseudomonadota; Gammaproteobacteria; Enterobacterales; Enterobacteriaceae.
GGGCAGGGUGAGUCGACCCCUAAGGCGAGGCCGAAAGGCGUAGUCGAUGGGAAACAGGUUAAUAUUCCUGUACUUGGUGUUACUGCGAAGGGGGGGCGGAGAAGGCUAUGUUGGCCGGGCGACGGUUGUCCCGGUUUAAGCGUGUAGGCUGGUUUUCCAGGCAAAUCCGGAAAAUCAAGGCUGAGGCGUGAUGACGAGGCACUACGGUGCUGAAGCAACAAAUGCCCUGCUUCCAGGAAAAGCCUCUAAGCAUCAGGUAACAUCAAAUCGUACCCCAAACCGACACAGGUGGUCAGGUAGAGAAUACCAAGGCGCUUGAGAGAACUCGGGUGAAGGAACUAGGCAAAAUGGUGCCGUAACUUCGGGAGAAGGCACGCUGAUAUGUAGGUGAAGCGACUUGCUCGUGGAGCUGAAAUCAGUCGAAGAUACCAGCUGGCUGCAACUGUUUAUUAAAAACACAGCACUGUGCAAACACGAAAGUGGACGUAUACGGUGUGACGCCUGCCCGGUGCCGGAAGGUUAAUUGAUGGGGUCAGCGCAAGCGAAGCUCUUGAUCGAAGCCCCGGUAAACGGCGGCCGUAACUAUAACGGUCCUAAGGUAGCGAAAUUCCUUGUCGGGUAAGUUCCGACCUGCACGAAUGGCGUAAUGAUGGCCAGGCUGUCUCCACCCGAGACUCAGUGAAAUUGAACUCGCUGUGAAGAUGCAGUGUACCCGCGGCAAGACGGAAAGACCCCGUGAACCUUUACUAUAGCUUGACACUGAACAUUGAGCCUUGAUGUGUAGGAUAGGUGGGAGGCUUUGAAGUGUGGACGCCAGUCUGCAUGGAGCCGACCUUGAAAUACCACCCUUUAAUGUUUGAUGUUCUAACGUUGACCCGUAAUCCGGGUUGCGGACAGUGUCUGGUGGGUAGUUUGACUGGGGCGGUCUCCUCCUAAAGAGUAACGGAGGAGCACGAAGGUUGGCUAAUCCUGGUCGGACAUCAGGAGGUUAGUGCAAUGGCAUAAGCCAGCUUGACUGCGAGCGUGACGGCGCGAGCAGGUGCGAAAGCAGGUCAUAGUGAUCCGGUGGUUCUGAAUGGAAGGGCCAUCGCUCAACGGAUAAAAGGUACUCCGGGGAUAACAGGCUGAUACCGCCCAAGAGUUCAUAUCGACGGCGGUGUUUGGCACCUCGAUGUCGGCUCAUCACAUCCUGGGGCUGAAGUAGGUCCCAAGGGUAUGGCUGUUCGCCAUUUAAAGUGGUACGCGAGCUGGGUUUAGAACGUCGUGAGACAGUUCGGUCCCUAUCUGCCGUGGGCGCUGGAGAACUGAGGGGGGCUGCUCCUAGUACGAGAGGACCGGAGUGGACGCAUCACUGGUGUUCGGGUUGUCAUGCCAAUGGCACUGCCCGGUAGCUAAAUGCGGAAGAGAUAAGUGCUGAAAGCAUCUAAGCACGAAACUUGCCCCGAGAUGAGUUCUCCCUGACUCCUUGAGAGUCCUGAAGGAACGUUGAAGACGACGACGUUGAUAGGCCGGGUGUGUAAGCGCAGCGAUGCGUUGAGCUAACCGGUACUAAUGAACCGUGAGGCUUAACCUU